CUCUUUCCCUCUAGCUCACAUCUCUCUCUCUCUCUCUCUCUCUCUCUCUUGUAAUCUCUCCACCAAAGAGAAGAAGUUGGAGGAGAAAUUAGAGAUUUAGCUUGGAAAUAGCUUGGAGAGGAAGCUUGGAGCUCUCUAAUGGUGGAUUUAGCUUGGAGAGCUAUGUAGUCAAGGAUAAUUCGACACGGAGGAUAACUUCGUUUUGGAUUACAACGAGGUUACGGCGUCCGAUUGAGAGAUUUGCAUAAUUGUGUUCGUUAGGCUUGGGUCGAGACGAAUCGGCAUUGUAAAUCAAAUUGCUUGGAAAUUCUAGCAAUUGCUAAUGAGACGAGAUUUAAAUAGAAUCCUAAUCAGACUUUGAUGGGAAGUCGAUCUGGACU
Ananas comosus (pineapple) is the source of this 380-nucleotide long non-coding RNA. RefSeq lists it as uncharacterized. The record is from RefSeq and is a predicted model, not a curated record. The transcript has 3 exons. NCBI's taxonomy places the organism in Eukaryota, Viridiplantae, Streptophyta, Magnoliopsida, Poales, Bromeliaceae.